Molecule: ribosomal RNA, 491 nt
Filed under: uncultured bacterium
Lineage: Bacteria
Description: partial 16S ribosomal RNA
Rfam family: Bacterial small subunit ribosomal RNA
Source: RNAcentral
AGUGAACGCUGGCGGUAUGCCUAACACAUGCAAGUCGAACGGCGGCACAGUAAGAGCUUGCUCUUACGGGUGGCGAGUGGCGGACGGGUGAGGAAGACAUCGGAAUCUACUUUUUCGUGGGGGAUAACGAAGGGAAACUUACGCUAAUACCGCAUACGACCUACGUGUGAAAGCAGGGGAUCUUCUGACCUUACGCGAUUGAAUGAGCCGAUGUCGGAUUAGCUAGUUGGCGGGGUAAGGCACACCAAGGCGACGAUCCGUAGCUGGUCUGAGAGGAUGAGCAGCCACACUGGAACUGAGACACGGCCCAGACUCCUACGGGAGGAAGCAGUGGGGAAUAUUGGACAAUGGGCGAAAGCCUGAUCCAGCCAUACCGCGUGGGUGAAGAAGGCCUUCGGGUUGUAAAGCCCUUUUGUUGGGAAAGAAAAGCAGCAGGUUAAUACCCCGCUGUUCUGACGGUACCAAAAGAAUAAGCACCGGCUAACUUCGUG